RNAcentral lists this ribosomal RNA (372 nucleotides) under Triticum aestivum (bread wheat). Its description in RNAcentral is "partial small subunit ribosomal RNA". The record is from RNAcentral. Lineage: Eukaryota; Viridiplantae; Streptophyta; Magnoliopsida; Poales; Poaceae.
AUUCACAAUGUGUUUCAUGUCUCUCAGUUGAAGCAACAUGUUCCUGACCACACUCCAGUGUUCCAGUCCCUUCCAAAACUGCCUCACCUGGAUACUGAAGAAUUGUCUCCUACUGAGAUUCUGGAUCGGCGUUUGGUCAAGCGGGGCAAUGCUGCCUUGUUACAAGUUCUAGUGCGUUGGGCGACCCUACCAGUCAAGUUUGCUACCUGGGAAGACUACACCGCACUUCAGAAGAAAUUUCCGGAGGCAGCAGUUUGGGGACAGCCUGCUUCUCAAGGAGAGGGCACUGUCAUUGCCCCUACUCUGUCAGGCGAGACAGAGUCAAGUAUUCAGCGAUCACAGAAGGCGGCAAGCAACGGUGACUGUGGCUGA